Oryza sativa Japonica Group (Japanese rice) is the source of this 701-nucleotide non-coding RNA. The record is from RefSeq and is a predicted model, not a curated record. Lineage: Eukaryota; Viridiplantae; Streptophyta; Magnoliopsida; Poales; Poaceae.
AUAGCUCCAUUAUACCAUAUAUUGCUGACGUAGAAUUAAUUUAUAAUAUUUUCAGCGACCAGUUAAUUUUCUUGGUGGUUAAAAACAAAGCCACCAACAUUACUCGUUAUCUUGACAAUCAUGACUAAGUUACCAAUGAUAUACUCAUAGAGGGUUCCAUAGAACCGCCAAGGUAUACAAACUUUUCCAUGUGCGUUGGCCUAACCAUAAGCAAAAUACUUCUCGGGAGUUCUAACCCAAACUGCCAAAGAAAAUUCCCAUAACUUUGCUAAUUAGAUGUGUUUAUCUCUAAUAUUCAGCUACAAUAUACACUACGCUGUCUUAUGCACGAUUCGAAGUUGUUUGCAGUUUGAACCAACAACGGCACAUUUUUGGGUUCAUGUCAUUUGAUACCCUCGACACCUAAGGAUAUGCCCGUUGGCUAAUAUCAAUAUGAUCAUCACCACCAAACCAAAGUCAAAAUCAAUAAUAUAUUGAGCUUUCCUUGUUCAAAGCAUUCUUGCAAGGUUGUUUCACUUCAAAAUGGUCAUUGGCUUAGUCUUGAGUAUGAUCCUGUGAGGGUGAGUUUUGCAUCUGUUCAUACAUUUUUAGAUUGGAUCUGGAUAGGGUGAGCUCUGCAUCUGUUUAUGCCUUUUACAUUGGUUAUGAAAGAGGAGAAAAAAAAUGAAUCAAUCAGCUCGAGGAGUGUUUUUUUCUUUCAA